This 950-nucleotide ribosomal RNA is filed under the name uncultured bacterium. RNAcentral describes it as "bacterial SSU rRNA". It matches the Rfam family "Bacterial small subunit ribosomal RNA", at positions 51 to 1014 of the family's 1533-position model. The record is from RNAcentral.
ACACAUGCAAGUCGAACGAGAGAUGAGGAGCUUGCUCUUCAAAUCGAGUGGCGAACGGGUGAGUAACGCGUGAGGAACCUGCCUCAAAGAGGGGGACAACAGUUGGAAACGACUGCUAAUACCGCAUAAGCCCACGGCUCGGCAUCGAGCAGGGGGAAAAGGAGCAAUCCGCUUUGAGAUGGCCUCGCGUCCGAUUAGCUAGUUGGUGAGGUAAUGGCCCACCAAGGCGACGAUCGGUAGCCGGACUGAGAGGUUGAACGGCCACAUUGGGACUGAGACACGGCCCAGACUCCUACGGGAGGCAGCAGUGGGGAAUAUUGCACAAUGGGGGAAACCCUGAUGCAGCGACGCCGCGUGGAGGAAGAAGGUCUUCGGAUUGUAAACUCCUGUUGUUGAGGAAGAUAAUGACGGUACUCAACAAGGAAGUGACGGCUAACUACGUGCCAGCAGCCGCGGUAAAACGUAGGUCACAAGCGUUGUCCGGAAUUACUGGGUGUAAAGGGAGCGCAGGCGGGAGAACAAGUUGGAAGUGAAAUCCAUGGGCUCAACCCAUGAACUGCUUUCAAAACUGUUUUUCUUGAGUAGUGCAGAGGUAGGCGGAAUUCCCGGUGUAGCGGUGGAAUGCGUAGAUAUCGGGAGGAACACCAGUGGCGAAGGCGGCCUACUGGGCACCAACUGACGCUGAGGCUCGAAAGUGUGGGUAGCAAACAGGAUUAGAUACCCUGGUAGUCCACACCGUAAACGAUGAUUACUAGGUGUUGGAGGAUUGACCCCUUCAGUGCCGCAGUUAACACAAUAAGUAAUCCACCUGGGGAGUACGACCGCAAGGUUGAAACUCAAAGGAAUUGACGGGGGCCCGCACAAGCAGUGGAGUAUGUGGUUUAAUUCGACGCAACGCGAAGAACCUUACCAAGUCUUGACAUCCCUUGACGAUGCUGGAAACAGUAUUU